RNAcentral lists this ribosomal RNA (499 nucleotides) under uncultured bacterium. Its description in RNAcentral is "partial 16S ribosomal RNA". It matches the Rfam family "Bacterial small subunit ribosomal RNA", at positions 28 to 507 of the family's 1533-position model. The record is from RNAcentral.
GACGAACGCUGGCGGCGUGCUUAACACAUGCAAGUCGAACGGGCCUGUCUUCUUUUUUGGGGGUGGGUUGAGUGGCGAACGGGUGAGUAUCACGUGAGUAACCUGCCCUUCGGUCCUGGAUAACCGCUUGAAAGGGCGGCCAAUACGGGGUGGUCCGGUUGGUCCGCAUGGGCUGGUCGGGAUAGAUGCACUGGUUUUGGUGUUUCGGCGGGGGAUGGGCUCGCGGCCUAUCAGCUUGUUGGUGGGGUGAUGGCCUACCAAGGCGGUGACGGGUAGCCGGCCUGAGGUGGUGGGCGGCCACACUGGGACUGAGAUACGGCCCAUGCUCCUGCGGGCGGCAGCCGUGGGGGGUAUUGCACAAUGGGCGGUAGCCUGAUGCAGCGACGUCGCGUGAGGGAUGGAGGCCUUCGGGUUGUGAACCUCUGUUUCCGGUGGUGAAGGCCCUGUCCGUGUGGUGGGGUUGACGGUAGCCGGGGAUGAAGCGCCGGCUAACUACGUG